AAAUGCUAUUCUCCAUCUUCAAAGAGGGAAUUUAUACCACUAGUUAAUAUUUCACCUAUACAAAAAAUACAUAUUAAAAUACAAACAUUAAUAAUAAAUAAUAAUACAAGUCAAAACUUAGUUACUCUUGUAUUCUAAUAACAAAUUCGUUACUAACAAGAAAUUAGUAAUAAAUAAAUCGCUCCACACUUCAUAAUAAAAAUUAAGAAAUAGAUGCAAGAAGAAACCCGUAAUACAUAAGUCACUUCACACUCCAUAUUAGAAAUUGAUAAUAAAUAAAUCAAAGGAAAUUUUUACCUUCUUCAUCGGGCUCUAUUUCAUCGAGUAAAGUAGUGUAGUCAUUGCUUAACUUAGAACUCAUACCACCUAAAAA
This 373-nucleotide long non-coding RNA is filed under the name Lathyrus oleraceus (garden pea). Its description in RNAcentral is "Pisum sativum (pea) long non-coding RNA (PSAT_LNC000155)". The record is from RNAcentral. Lineage: Eukaryota; Viridiplantae; Streptophyta; Magnoliopsida; Fabales; Fabaceae.